GCAAUGCACGCAAGUGUGACGGGGCUACCCCGAGUGCCGUCCGCUGAGGAUGGCUUUUCCUUGGUGUAACUAGCCAGGGGAAUAAGGAGAGGGCAAGACUGGUGUCAGCCGCCGCGGUAAUACCAGCUCUCCGAGUGGUAGGGAUGAUUAUUGGGCUUAAAGCGUCCGUAGCCGGCUUAGCAAGUUUCCUGUUAAAUUCAGCGACCUAAUCGUUGAGCCGCGGGAAAUACUACUAGGCUAGGAGGCGGGAGAGGUCAACGGUACUUCCGGGGUAGGGGUGAAAUCCUAUAAUCCCGGGAGGACCACCAGUGGCGAAGGCUGUUGACUAGAACGCGCUCGACGGUGAGGGACGAAAGCUGGGGGAGCGAACCGGAUUAGAUACCCGGGUAGUCCCAGCUGUAAACGAUGCGAGCUAGGUGUUGGAAUGGCUACGUGCCAUUUCAGUGCCGCAGGGAAGCCAUUAAGCUCGCCGCCUGGGGAGUACGGCCGCAAGGCUGAAACUUAA
RNAcentral lists this ribosomal RNA (505 nucleotides) under uncultured archaeon. RNAcentral describes it as "bacterial SSU rRNA". It matches the Rfam family "Archaeal small subunit ribosomal RNA", at positions 352 to 859 of the family's 1478-position model. The record is from RNAcentral.